AUGAUACGAGAAUUCUGAGGGAAGAGUGCAUGGCGGGGCCUGUGGCCCGCGGCUAGUGUGACUCAGGGGAAUCAGGGCCUGGGCGUGGGUUUCUCCUGAAGCCGGGUCUGGUCUCCCACCUUCCCAGCGCUCUCGGCCACCGUUUAUCUCCGUCUCCUAAGGCACGUCACGGCCCCUCUGAAUGCCGUCUUGGAAGCCGAUUUUGCAAAGAGGGGAUACAAGCUUCCAAAGGCCCGCAAAACUGGCACGACCAUCGCUGGGGUGGUCUAUAAGGAUGGCAUAGUUCUUGGAGCAGAUACAAGAGCAACUGAAGGGAUGGUUGUUGCUGACAAGAACUGUUCAAAAAUACAUUUCAUAUCUCCUAAUAUUUAUUGUUGUGGUGCUGGGACAGCUGCAGACACAGACAUGACAACCCAGCUCAUUUCUUCCAACUUGGAGCUCCACUCCCUCUCCACUGGCCGUCUUCCCAGAGUUGUGACAGCCAAUAGAAUGCUGAAGCAGAUGCUUUUCAGGUUCUGGCUCCUUGGCAGCAAUGGCUGUAUUUGAAGAUAAGUUUAGGCCAGACAUGGAGGAGGAAGAAGCCAAGAAGCUGGUGAGCGAAGCCAUCGCAGCUGGCAUCUUCAACGACCUGGGCUCCGGAAGCAACAUUGACCUCUGCGUCAUCAGCAAGAACAAGCUGGAUUUUCUCCGCCCAUACACAGUGCCCAACAAGAAGGGGACCAGGCUUGGCCGGUACAGGUGUGAGAAAGGGACUACUGCAGUCCUCACUGAGAAAAUCACUCCUCUGGAGAUUGAGGUGCUGGAAGAAACAGUCCAAACAAUGGACACUUCCUGAAUGGCAUCAGUGGGUGGCUGGCUGCGGUUCUGGAAGAGGGUGGGCAUUGAUGCCCAGUAAGACAUUCAUGUGGCUAGUGUUUGCUGAAUGAAACUCAAUAAAAAACAAAAACCAAAUUGGGCAGCUG
This 962-nucleotide small RNA is filed under the name Pongo abelii (Sumatran orangutan). RNAcentral describes it as "processed transcript". Lineage: Eukaryota; Metazoa; Chordata; Mammalia; Primates; Hominidae. The record is from RNAcentral.